AUAUAUUUGAAGGUUCACAAUUAUAACUUCCAAUACAAAACGUUACUAAAUUCCAGCUCUAUAAAACAACAUGUUACUUCAAGCUACUACUCCAAUAUAACUGACCAAUGCAAUACAUGAAGUUUCUCACAAGAUCCAGCUAUAAACAUGUUCUUAAUUUAUGUAAGGCAUUGAUUAAUGGUCUUAGAUUAUUUGGAUAAACUAU
Molecule: long non-coding RNA, 205 nt
Filed under: Mytilus galloprovincialis (Mediterranean mussel)
Lineage: Eukaryota; Metazoa; Mollusca; Bivalvia; Mytilida; Mytilidae
Source: RNAcentral